Non-coding RNA from Syngnathus acus (greater pipefish), 132 nucleotides. RefSeq annotates it as small Cajal body-specific RNA 11. The transcript has a single exon. The record is from RefSeq and is a predicted model, not a curated record. NCBI's taxonomy places the organism in Eukaryota, Metazoa, Chordata, Actinopteri, Syngnathiformes, Syngnathidae.
UUGUCCAGUUGGCUCUCCUCUGUCCGUCAGUGUCAGUUGGGGCGGUCGGACAUUGGACAUAGAGCAACAUUGCCCGUUACAGGGGAGCAGCUCAUAGUCAGGAGCUUUAUCCUAAAGGCAGGGCAAGACAAU